Molecule: long non-coding RNA, 723 nt
Filed under: Homo sapiens (human)
Lineage: Eukaryota; Metazoa; Chordata; Mammalia; Primates; Hominidae
Description: HSALNT0029652
Source: RNAcentral
CGGACAAGAAGCUGGGAGGCGCGCAGAACCAUCGUCAGUCCCCGAGGCUCUCUGCAGUCCGCGUGAGUCCUGGCCAAGGUCUGGCCUCGGAAGCUACGAGCUACAAUCUUCCUUCAUCCUACCCACCCACGAAGAGCGCCACCCCAGCUGCAGACCAAGUGACCAGCCCAGUUAGAAGGGGCUCGGCCGGAUCAAACCUCGGUGCUGCCUCAAAGCAUCUGCUGAAGCUCUUCCUCGACCAACUGAACUUCCUCACUGAGUGGUUCUUACUAGAAAAUUAUAAGCCCAGUCUGACAGUCUCUGAAAGAAUGUCAGUGUUUUACUGUAAAGCCAAAGAUGGGGGAAGAAGCAGUUUUGGGGGUUUCCUGAUCAGCUUUUAUUCAAGCCCUUAAAUCUGUGAAUAUGCGAUGUUAAUGCCACCUUACAUUUGUAUUAGAUUAGCAGUAUGCAACUGGCUUUCCAAACCGUGGUCCUACUGAUAGUAAUGUAGUUGUAAAACGUACAUAGGAUAAUUUGCCUCCUACACAGUGUGUAAAUAGCAAACAACAUCUCUUUACUUGGAUUUUUUAAAAUUCCAAUAAAUUCAAUUUAUUUUAAUGUAAACAAAAGUGAUAACACGCAAACUUCCUGCCUUUGACACAAUUCUAUUUGUAAUUGCACUUUGUAAUAUGAAAACUUGAAAACAUUUGGAGUAAAUGAUGGCAUAACAAUAUGGUGGAAUAU